CAUGACAUCACAGUUCCCAUAGCAACAAUGGUAAGUUAGUACAGAAAUGACCUCAGUUAGAGAUCUUUGGGUGAGUUAACAGUGGAUGUCAUCUUCAGGUGCUGAAUAGAAAGAAAGGUGAAGAAAUAUAAGAACAGGAACAGGUGUCUGAUUCUCCUGCCAACAUCACUUACAAACAAAAUGAGGGGGAAGAACAGAGCACCGUACAUCACCAUGUCUGGAGAGUCAUUAGCUGGAAAAUUAAUCAGGGUGGAGAACAGCUGAAUAAAACCCCAGCCCUCAGUGUAACUUUCCACAUCCCUGGCUCAGCUGUGGAUACUAGCCAGCGCCAACCCUCAAAGGACAUCUUGGACUAUUCCCACCAGUGAAAAGGCACAAAUUGUGACUCCAUCGAUAUAUGGAGCUGCUCAAUAAAAGGAAACAAAAUCCCUCUUCUGAAACAGAUGGACAAAUUUUCUCCAACAAAGAGAAUACGGAAAUUAAGUAUCUUGCUCAAGAUCACAUAUAUUGUCAGAAUAUAUAAAAAGAGGCAGAAGUUAAAUCUAGGCCAUCCUGACUCCAAAUACAUUUCAUCUGAUGUAUUCAGAGAGCUUCCAGACAUUAAUUAAAUUCGACAACACCCUGUGUGUUAAGUUGAAUUGUAAGAAAUGUGAAAGUGGAUGUCAAGAAACUGAUGUUUUAUUCUGAGCUCUUCCAUUAACAGAAUGUUUUGCCUUGGGUAAGUAACUGACUCUGAAGACCCCUGGAUCUCAAUUUCUGCUUCUGUCAAAUUGUAGAAAUGGACUCAGUGAGUGCUAAUGUACUUUUGCACUCUAAUUAUAUGCAUUCUCACUUAUUUAUCUUCUAGCUCUCACCUUUUGAGUUAUAAAAUCCCAUAUUGUUCUAACAUUCUAUGCUCUAUUUUCCAAUCCUACAAACAUUUAGCAAACACCUUCUAAAUGCAACAUUCUGCCCAAGAUGCUGGGAACACAGAGGCAAAAUGGAAAAUAGCAUCUAUCCUCAAAAAGACUAUUAAUUCUACCAAGGGAAUAUAUAAACAGAAUAAGUACAUGAUUUUUGAGGAAGGAAAGGACAUUAAGAACUAGCGAUUAUGCUUUUUGUCUCUGUUUUUUAGUUUUAACUUCACUUCCUCAUUUUAAAAAUAG
This 1145-nucleotide long non-coding RNA is filed under the name Monodelphis domestica (gray short-tailed opossum). Its description in RNAcentral is "lncRNA (ENSMODG00000038064.1)". Lineage: Eukaryota; Metazoa; Chordata; Mammalia; Didelphimorphia; Didelphidae. The record is from RNAcentral.